Molecule: ribosomal RNA, 256 nt
Filed under: uncultured bacterium
Lineage: Bacteria
Description: partial 16S ribosomal RNA
Rfam family: Bacterial small subunit ribosomal RNA
Source: RNAcentral
UACGUAGGGUGCGAGCGUUGUCCGGAUUUAUUGGGCGUAAAGGGCUCGUAGGCGGCGUGUCGCGUCGGGAGUGAAAGCCCGUUGCUUAACGGCGGGUUGGCUUUCGGUACGGGCAUGCUGGAGUGCGGCAGGGGAGAAUGGAAUUCCUGGUGUAGCGGUGAAAUGCGCAGAUAUCAGGAGGAACACCGGUGGCGAAGGCGGUUCUCUGGGCAUUGACCUGACGCUGGAGGAGCGAAAGUGUGGGGAGCGGAACAGG